AACGAACGCUGGCGGCAUGCCUAACACAUGCAAGUCGAACGAGACCUUCGGGUCUAGUGGCGCACGGGUGCGUAACGCGUGGGAACCUGCCCUUAGGUUCGGAAUAACUCCCCGAAAGGGGUGCUAAUACCGGAGAAUGUCUUCGGACCAAAGAUUUAUCGCCUUUGGAUGGGCCCGCGUUGGAUUAGCUAGUUGGUAGGGUAAAAGCCUACCAAGGCGACGAUCCAUAGCUGGUCUGAGAGGAUGAUCAGCCACACUGGGACUGAGACACGGCCCAGACUCCUACGGGAGGCAGCGGUGGGGAAUAUUGGACAAUGGGCGAAAGCCUGAUCCAGCAAUGCCGCGUGAGUGAUGAAGGCCUUAGGGUUGUAAAGCUCUUUUACCCGGGAUGAUAAUGACAGUACCGGGAGAAUAAGCUCCGGCUAACUCCGUG
RNAcentral lists this ribosomal RNA (433 nucleotides) under uncultured bacterium. Its description in RNAcentral is "partial 16S ribosomal RNA". It matches the Rfam family "Bacterial small subunit ribosomal RNA", at positions 29 to 507 of the family's 1533-position model. The record is from RNAcentral.